Molecule: ribosomal RNA, 515 nt
Filed under: uncultured bacterium
Lineage: Bacteria
Description: partial 16S ribosomal RNA
Rfam family: Bacterial small subunit ribosomal RNA
Source: RNAcentral
GAUGAACGCUGGCGGCGUGCCUAAUACGUGCAAGUCGAGCGAAUGGAUUGAGAGCUUGCUCUUAUGAAGUUAGCGGCGGACGGGUGAGUAACACGUGGGUAACCUGCCCAUAAGACUGGGAUAACUCCGGGAAACCGGGGCUAAUACCGGAUAACAUUUUGAACCGCAUGGUUCGAAAUUGAAAGGCGGCUUCGGCUGUCACUUAUGGAUGGACCCGCGUCGCAUUAGCUGGUUGGUGAGGGAACGGCUCACCAAGGCAACGAUGCGUAGCCGACCUGAGAGGGUGAUCGGCCACACUGGGACUGGGUCACGGCCCAGACUCCUACGGGAGGCAGCAGUAGGGAAUCUUCCGCAGUGGACGAAAGUCUGACGGAGCAACGCCGCGUGAGUGAUGAAGGCUUUCGGGUCGUAAAACUCUGUUGUUAGGGAAGAACAAGUGCUAGUUGAAUAAGCUGGCACCUUGACGGUACCUAACCAGAAAGCCACGGCUAACUACGUGCCAGCCGCCGCGGUAA